AUUGAACGCUGGCGGCAUGCCUUACACAUGCAAGUCGAACGGUAACAGGUCUUCGGAUGCUGACGAGUGGCGAACGGGUGAGUAAUACAUCGGAACGUGCCUAGUAGUGGGGGAUAACUACUCGAAAGAGUGGCUAAUACCGCAUGAGAUCUACGGAUGAAAGCAGGGGAUCGCAAGACCUUGUGCUACUAGAGCGGCCGAUGGCAGAUUAGGUAGUUGGUGGGAUAAAAGCUUACCAAGCCGAUGAUCAGUAGCUGGUCUGAGAGGACGAUCAGCCACACUGGGACUGAGACACGGCCCAGACUCCUACGGGAGGCAGCAGUGGGGAAUUUUGGACAAUGGGCGCAAGCCUGAUCCAGCCAUGCCGCGUGUCCGAAGAAGGCCUUCGGGUUGUAAAGGACUUUUGUCCGGGAGCAAAUGCUGGUGGCUAACAUCCACCGGAGCUGAGAGUACCGGAAGAAUAAGCACCGGCUAACUACGUGCCAGCCGCCGCCGUAA
RNAcentral lists this ribosomal RNA (498 nucleotides) under uncultured bacterium. RNAcentral describes it as "partial 16S ribosomal RNA". It matches the Rfam family "Bacterial small subunit ribosomal RNA", at positions 30 to 523 of the family's 1533-position model. The record is from RNAcentral.